UGGGUCAUGGUGAUCUCCCCAGGGCCUAGCACAGUGCCUGGCACUCAGUAAAUAUGUGUGAGUAAAUUCUAUCUGAAGGGUUUUUUGCCCAAGCUUUCCUCUUGGCCAAGAGGUCUAAAACAGAGGAGCCAGGCUUCUGAGAAAGUCCCCAAGAACCCUGGGCACAUGAGGAUGGAGGGCCAGUGGCCAGUGACAGUGUGCCGCCCCCAGGUCAAGCCUGACACUGGACUCCCACACCCCCCAUUGCUGGGUGGACCCAGGCGGCCGGGUAACUCAUCCCAUUCUGCUCACCUUCCCCUUGGGACCUGAUGCUGGCUGGCCCUGCACAGAGCAAGGGGCCCAGGUGUCACCUGAGGAACCCUAAGGGUUUGCUGGGUAGACCUCGGUGCACAAGCUGGUGUACAGUGCCUGGUGGCUUGAGUUGGGGCCACCCGACUGAUGGCUCGUCCACGAGUUGCCUGCGAACCAGAACGAUCCUCAGGCACAUUGAGCAACCGGCUUCCCUUUGUCGCCCGAGGCGGGAGCUGGGCCAGGGAAAGUGAAGAAACCUGUUCUGGGCCUCCGCUGGGGUGGGCGUGGGCGGGGCCCUGCCGGGAAAGGAGCAGCUGGACCAGUUUCCUUGGCUCCUGGACCGGAUGCAGCCCCGUGACUAGGGCGGAGGCUGGAGAAAUACGUGCCCUGGGCGCACCUGUGUGUCCUCUGGGCCAACACUGGCUUUGACAAUGAUAAGACUAAGGGCUCUAGGUCAGCUGUCGCCGGACUUGCGACUUCCGGCUGCUAAAUUAGGCGAGCGGGCGCGGCAGCAGCGAUCAGCUGAUAGGUAGAACUACAAGAGGCUUUGGACAUCCUGUAGGUUGCCGCCAGAAGCCGGCCGGUGGGGGAAGGGUUCGGAACCGGUACGACCGCCUCAGCCGCGCCGGGAGAGGCCGAGAGUCCGCCACGCUCAGCCGUCGCGCGGGGGCGGUACUCCGGGCCCCCCAGGAUGAGCCGAGCCGAGAAACCCAGCACGAGAAAGUCCCCACCCACCUGCACCCUCUUCCGUGGGUCACCCCGCGCGUGGCAGGCCCUUGACAAAUAUCGUCCUGAAUUCUCCCCGCGAUCCUGGGAGUAUCCUCCCCAUUUUAUAGACGAGAGACUGAGGCUUACCAAGUGUAAGGGGCUUGACCGAGGUCCCAUAGGCGAAAAAAGUGGCAAACCAAGAACUUCUAACCGAAUAUAUCUGGCUGCAAAAUCCAGUCUUCUCCCAUCCCGCCGGUCACCAGUGAGACUGUAAAGGUCUUAAAGGAGAAGAAUAAAAAAAAAAAUAACCACACGAAUCAGAUUAACAGAUCGUAAGGAAUUGAAAGGGCCUUCCAGAGCUGCUGGUAUUUCAAACAAGUGGACUCGAACCACAGGAUAAGUAACAAACUACUUUUCCUGGGUGACCAAUCAUACUUUUUUUUUAAUUAAAAAUAUAUUUAUUAAAAUAGAUUACGAUGGAGAAGAAUAUAAUUUUCAAAAUAAUGAUAGCUGAAAACAGAAGACUUAAAAGAAAUGUCAGGCUGUUUCCACCUCGCACACCUUUCGUUCGAUUGCACACACAUUCUUGACAUCAAGUACAUAAACAGGCAAACUGAGGCCCGAAACCAGUCCCACUGAGAGCGAGAGGCCGAGUGGGAGGAGAACCGAGAUUUCCGGGCUCUCGGCCUGGGGUGCUUUCGGCUGGGGGCGGGGGUCCUGUUUGUAAACAGGUGUCCUCGGACAGCCACUGCCGAUUUUUGUCACUCUGCCAACCGGAGGGACGAUUCUGAGUAAUCGCUAGCAGUCAGCGCAGCUGGGGCUAAAAGCGAAAGGGACGCGCGCGCGACGGGCCCGGGAGGGCGACGGGUAAAGCGCGCAGGCGGGGCCGCCGCCGGGUUCCCGCGGGGCGACCGUGCGGUAGGCCUCCUCCCGGACCGCUCUCGACGGCCCCGCCCCGCGCAGGCGGCGGGCGCUGCAGGCCCCGCCCCUGCUCCCAGCCCAGGGGACCCAUCCCGGACCUGAGAAUCCCGGUCCCAAACCCCUCCUCCCAAAAGGGGCUAAAAGGUGCAGGGGGCUUUUGACCAGCCCGUCCAGCUUCAGGUCCUGGGACCGGCGGCCCUGUCCUUGCGCGUGGGAACAGUCAGGUACUUAGGCUUGACCUUAAAUCCGCCCCUGGUAUUUGCUAAC
Molecule: long non-coding RNA, 2187 nt
Organism: Bos taurus (domestic cattle)
Lineage: Eukaryota; Metazoa; Chordata; Mammalia; Artiodactyla; Bovidae
Source: Ensembl